AGUGAACGCUGGCGGUAGGCCUAACACAUGCAAGUCGAACGGCAGCACAGUAAGAGCUUGCUCUUACGGGUGGCGAGUGGCGGACGGGUGAGGAAUACAUCGGAAUCUACUUUUUCGUGGGGGAUAACGUAGGGAAACUUACGCUAAUACCGCAUACGACCUACGGGUGAAAGCAGGGGAUCUUCGGACCUUGCGCGAUUGAAUGGGCCGAUGUCGGAUUAGCUAGUUGGCGGGGUAAAGGCCCACCAAGGCGACGAUCCGUAGCUGGUCUGAGAGGAUGAUGAGCCACACUGGAACUGAGACACGGUCCAGACUCCUACGGGAGGCAGCAGUGGGGAAUAUUGGACAAUGGGCGCAAGCCUGAUCCAGCCAUACCGCGUGGGUGAAGAAGGCCUUCGGGUUGUAAAGCCCUUUUGUUGGGAAAGAAAAGCAGCAGGUUAAUACCCCGCUGUUCUGACGGUACCCAAAGAAUAAGCACCGGCUAACUUCGUG
RNAcentral lists this ribosomal RNA (492 nucleotides) under uncultured bacterium. Its description in RNAcentral is "partial 16S ribosomal RNA". It matches the Rfam family "Bacterial small subunit ribosomal RNA", at positions 29 to 507 of the family's 1533-position model. The record is from RNAcentral.